CCUACGGGAGGCAGCAGUAAGGAAUAUUGGUCAAUGGAGGCAACUCUGAACCAGCCAUGCCGCGUGCAGGAAGAAGGCCCUAUGGGUCGUAAACUGCUUUUGUACCAGAGAAAACCCGAGUACGUGUACUCGGUUGAUAGUAUGGUAAGAAUAAGCAUCGGCUAACUUCGUGCCAGCAGCCGCGGUAAGACGAAGGAUGCAAGCGUUAUCCGGAUUCAUUGGGUUUAAAGGGUGCGUAGGCGGACUGAUAAGUCAGUGGUGAAAUCUCUCAGCUUAACUGAGAAACUGCCAUUGAUACUGUUAGUCUAGAGUAUAGAUGACGUUGGCGGAAUAUGACAUGUAGUGGUGAAAUACUUAGAUAUGUCAUAGAACACCGAUUGCGAAGGCAGCUAACGAAACUAUAACUGACGCUGAGGCACGAAAGUGCGGGGGAUCAAACAGGAUUAGAUACCCUGGUAGUCCGCACCGUAAACGAUGAUUACUCGUUGUUGGCAAUAUGACCGUCAGCGACCAAGCGAAAGCGAUAAGUAAUCCACCUGGGGGUACNCCGGCAACGGUGAAACUCAAAGGAAUUGACGGCNGAGAGNGCGAGGACGACGACGAGGGAGGAGG
RNAcentral lists this ribosomal RNA (612 nucleotides) under uncultured bacterium. RNAcentral's name for it is "bacterial SSU rRNA". It matches the Rfam family "Bacterial small subunit ribosomal RNA", at positions 338 to 951 of the family's 1533-position model. The record is from RNAcentral.